UCUUUUCUCAUUUUACGGUUC
Molecule: non-coding RNA, 21 nt
Filed under: Caenorhabditis elegans
Lineage: Eukaryota; Metazoa; Nematoda; Chromadorea; Rhabditida; Rhabditidae
Source: RNAcentral